This 195-nucleotide ribosomal RNA is filed under the name uncultured Verrucomicrobiales bacterium. RNAcentral's name for it is "partial 16S ribosomal RNA". It matches the Rfam family "Bacterial small subunit ribosomal RNA", at positions 338 to 524 of the family's 1533-position model. Lineage: Bacteria; Pseudomonadati; Verrucomicrobiota; Verrucomicrobiia; Verrucomicrobiales. The record is from RNAcentral.
CCUACGGGAGGCAGCAGUCGAGAAUUUUUCACAAUGGACGAAAGUCUGAUGGAGCGACGCCGCGUGGAGGAUGAAGGUUUUCGGAUUGUAAACUCCUGUCACUGCAGAACAAGGUAAUGCCAGUUAACAGCCGGCGUUAUUGAUGGUAUGCGGAGAGGAAGGGACGGCUCACUCUGUGCCAGCAGCCGCGGUAAU